AUGCCCAGGAGCGGGAUUGCUGGAUCCUAUGGUAGUUGUGUGUUCACGUUUCUGAGGAACCUCCAUCCUGUCCUCCACAGUGGCUGCACCAAUUUCCAUUCCCACCAAUGUCGGGGGUUCUUUUUUCUGAGACUGUUUUUGAUCCCUGGUCCUGUAGUUCCUUUCCCUGCUGACACUGGCCCUAGGCAGAUGUUAGUCCUGUCUCCCAAAGCCCCAAAACUCUUCCAAGUUGCUCACGGACCACAUCUCUGCUUUGGUGGCUUUGGGGAAAUUCAUUACAUCCACAGUCAGAGAAUAUCGUGAGCCAGAGAAACUCACACAAGCCUUGAUGUCCAGGCUUCUUAUUCAGGGGUUGGUUACGUAGAAAUGGUUGUCCAGGGAGCUCCCUUUUCUGCUCAGCAGCUUAAGCCCCCACCAGUGUCCAUGAGGAUGUGGUUUGAUCCCUGGCCUUGCUUAGUGGGUUAAGGAUCCAGUGUUGCUGAAGCUGUGGCAUAUUCAGAGAUGUGGCUUGGGUCCAGUGUUUCUGUGGCUGUGGUGUAGACCUGCAGCUGGAGCUCUUAUUAAACUAGCCCGGGAACCUCCAUGUGCAGGUGCGGCCAUAAAAAGGAAAUAAGAAAGCAAAAAGAUGUGGCUGUCCCUCCACAUAGCUGCCCUUAGCCUCCAGCCUCCCCAGAGGUCAAGCUGAGACCAUGUGCCCCAAGGCCCCCACCGUAGGUCACAUUGCAGCACACACUCCCAAAGGAUUGGUCUUCCUUUGGCCAAUCACCUUCUUGUAUCUUUCCUCACACACCUGACCAGACCCAGGAACCCCAAGUAAACAAUGACCCUUGUAUGGAGCCGGACAUCCUAAGUCUCAGAGGCGACCUUCCAGGAGGUUGGGGUCAAGGGCAGAACUUUCCUGGGGCAGAGUCUGUCCUUUCCUGCACACCCCUCUUGCAGAAGCCCUUCUAAGCCCAAUUUUGCAGAAUACCCUCCAUCCUGGAGAGCACGGCGCUCAAAGUGACAGAAUCCACGCUUGAGUGACUGUGGCAGAUAACAGCCUUCACCCCUGCAACAAGGGGAUACCUAGUUUGGAGUGUGUGCUGGGUUGAAUUGUCACCCAAAAAGAUACACGGACGUCCUACCCCUCAGUCUCUCCCAACGUGGCCUUAUUUGGGAAGAGUCUUUGCAGAUGGAGUUUGUGGAAGAAAGGUCGUAUUAGGGCAGGGAUGGCCCUAAUCCACCAGGACUGGUGUCCACGUAACAGAGAGAGGGGGACACAGGCUGGGGGGAGGGAUGGCCAUGUCCCAGUGGAGGUGGAGAC
RNAcentral lists this long non-coding RNA (1303 nucleotides) under Sus scrofa (pig). RNAcentral's name for it is "lncRNA (ENSSSCG00015028214.1)". Lineage: Eukaryota; Metazoa; Chordata; Mammalia; Artiodactyla; Suidae. The record is from RNAcentral.